This 253-nucleotide ribosomal RNA is filed under the name uncultured bacterium. RNAcentral's name for it is "partial 16S ribosomal RNA". It matches the Rfam family "Bacterial small subunit ribosomal RNA", at positions 524 to 776 of the family's 1533-position model. The record is from RNAcentral.
UACGGAAGGUGCAAGCGUUAAUCGGAAUUACUGGGCGUAAAGCGCGCGUAGGCGGCUUCGUAAGUCGGGUGUGAAAGCCCCGGGCUCAACCUGGGAACGGCACUCGAUACUGCGGAGCUCGAGUACGAGAGAGGGGGGUGGAAUUCCAGGUGUAGCGGUGAAAUGCGUAGAGAUCUGGAGGAACACCGGUGGCGAAGGCGGCAUCCUGGACCAACACUGACACUGAGGAGCGAAAGCCAGGGGAGCAAACGGG